GACGAACGCUGGCGGCGUGCUUAACACAUGCAAGUCGAACGGAAAGGCCCUGCUUUUGCGGGGUGCUCGAGUGGCGAACGGGUGAGUAACACGUGAGUAACCUGCCCUUGACUUUGGGAUAACUUCAGGAAACUGGGGCUAAUACCGGAUAGGAGCUCCUGCUGCAUGGUGGGGGUUGGAAAGUUUCGGCGGUUGGGGAUGGACUCGCGGCUUAUCAGCUUGUUGGUGGGGUAGUGGCUUACCAAGGCUUUGACGGGUAGCCGGCCUGAGAGGGUGACCGGCCACAUUGGGACUGAGAUACGGCCCAGACUCCUCCGGGAGGCAGCAGUGGGGAAUAUUGCACAAUGGGCGGAAGCCUGAUGCAGCAACGCCGCGUGCGGGAUGACGGCCUUCGGGUUGUAAACCGCUUUCGCCUGUGACGAAGCGUGAGUGACGGUAAUGGGUAAAGAAGCACCGGCUAACUACGUG
This 468-nucleotide ribosomal RNA is filed under the name uncultured bacterium. RNAcentral's name for it is "partial 16S ribosomal RNA". It matches the Rfam family "Bacterial small subunit ribosomal RNA", at positions 28 to 507 of the family's 1533-position model. The record is from RNAcentral.